Molecule: ribosomal RNA, 1005 nt
Filed under: Lactobacillus sp. LS24e
Lineage: Bacteria; Bacillati; Bacillota; Bacilli; Lactobacillales; Lactobacillaceae
Description: bacterial SSU rRNA
Rfam family: Bacterial small subunit ribosomal RNA
Source: RNAcentral
UGACGUGCUUGCACUGAUUUCAACAAUGAAGCGAGUGGCGAACUGGUGAGUAACACGUGGGAAAUCUGCCCAGAAGCAGGGGAUAACACUUGGAAACAGGUGCUAAUACCGUAUAACAACAAAAUCCGCAUGGAUUUUGUUUGAAAGGUGGCUUCGGCUAUCACUUCUGGAUGAUCCCGCGGCGUAUUAGUUAGUUGGUGAGGUAAAGGCCCACCAAGACGAUGAUACGUAGCCGACCUGAGAGGGUAAUCGGCCACAUUGGGACUGAGACACGGCCCAAACUCCUACGGGAGGCAGCAGUAGGGAAUCUUCCACAAUGGACGAAAGUCUGAUGGAGCAAUGCCGCGUGAGUGAAGAAGGGUUUCGGCUCGUAAAACUCUGUUGUUAAAGAAGAACACCUUUGAGAGUAACUGUUCAAGGGUUGACGGUAUUUAACCAGAAAGCCACGGCUAACUACGUGCCAGCAGCCGCGGUAAUACGUAGGUGGCAAGCGUUGUCCGGAUUUAUUGGGCGUAAAGCGAGCGCAGGCGGUUUUUUAAGUCUGAUGUGAAAGCCUUCGGCUUAACCGGAGAAGUGCAUCGGAAACUGGGAGACUUGAGUGCAGAAGAGGACAGUGGAACUCCAUGUGUAGCGGUGGAAUGCGUAGAUAUAUGGAAGAACACCAGUGGCGAAGGCGGCUGUCUAGUCUGUAACUGACGCUGAGGCUCGAAAGCAUGGGUAGCGAACAGGAUUAGAUACCCUGGUAGUCCAUGCCGUAAACGAUGAGUGCUAAGUGUUGGAGGGUUUCCGCCCUUCAGUGCUGCAGCUAACGCAUUAAGCACUCCGCCUGGGGAGUACGACCGCAAGGUUGAAACUCAAAGGAAUUGACGGGGGCCCGCACAAGCGGUGGAGCAUGUGGUUUAAUUCGAAGCUACGCGAAGAACCUUACCAGGUCUUGACAUCUUCUGCCAAUCUUAGAGAUAAGACGUUCCCUUCGGGGACAGAAUGACAGGUGGUGCAUGGUUG